This 478-nucleotide ribosomal RNA is filed under the name uncultured bacterium. RNAcentral describes it as "partial 16S ribosomal RNA". It matches the Rfam family "Bacterial small subunit ribosomal RNA", at positions 28 to 507 of the family's 1533-position model. The record is from RNAcentral.
GAUGAACGCUGGCGGCGUGCUUAACACAUGCAAGUCGAACGGGAAACCUUUUAUUGCAGCUUCGGCAGAUUUCGCUGGUUUCUAGUGGCGGACGGGUGAGUAACGCGUGGGUAACCUGCCUUAUACAGGGGGAUAACAGUCAGAAAUGGCUGCUAAUACCGCAUAAGCGCACAGAGCUGCAUGGCUCAGUGUGAAAAACUCCGGUGGUAUAAGAUGGACCCGCGUUGGAUUAGCUGGUUGGUGGGGUAACGGCCCACCAAGGCGACGAUCCAUAGCCGGCCUGAGAGGGUAAACGGCCACAUUGGGACUGAGACACGGCCCAGACUCCUACGGGAAGCAGCAGUGGGGAAUAUUGCACAAUGGGGGAAACCCUGAUGCAGCGACGCCGCGUGAAGGAAGAAGUAUCUCGGUAUGUAAACUUCUAUCAGCAGGGAAGAUAAUGACGGUACCUGACUAAGAAGCCCCGGCUAACUACGUG